This 253-nucleotide ribosomal RNA is filed under the name uncultured bacterium. RNAcentral's name for it is "partial 16S ribosomal RNA". It matches the Rfam family "Bacterial small subunit ribosomal RNA", at positions 524 to 776 of the family's 1533-position model. The record is from RNAcentral.
UACGUAGGGUGCAGGCGUUAAUCGGAAUUACUGGGCGUAAAGCGUGCGCAGGCGGUCUUUUAAGUCAGAUGUGAAAUCCCCGGGCUUAACCUGGGAACUGCGUUUGAAACUGGAAGGCUUGAGUGUGGCAGAGGGGGGUGGAAUGCCGCGUGUAGCAGUGAAAUGCGUAGAGAUGCGGCGGAACACCGAUGGCGAAGGCAGCCCCCUGGGCUGAGAUUGACGCUCAGGCACGAAAGCGUGGGGAGCAAACAGG